AUCGAACGCUGGCGGCAUGCCUUACACAUACAAGUCGAACGGUAACAGGUCUUCGGAUGCUGACGAGUGGCGAACGGGUGAGUAAUACAUCGGAACGUGCCUAGUAGUGGGGGAUAACUACUCGAAAGAGUGGCUAAUACCGAAUGAGAUCUACGGAUGAAAGCAGGGGAUCGCAAGACCUUGUGCUACUAGAGCGGCCGAUGGCAGAGUAGGUAGUUGGUGGGAUAAAAGCUUACCAAGCCGACGAUCUGUAGCUGGUCUGAGAGGACGAUCAGCCACACUGGGACUGAGACACGGCCCAGACUCCUACGGGAGGCAGCAGUGGGGAAUUUUGGACAAUGGGCGCAAGCCUGAUCCAGCAAUGCCGCGUGCAGGAUGAAGGCCUUCGGGUUGUAAACUGCUUUUGUACGGAACGAAAAGCCCUGGGUUAAUACCCUGGGGUCAUGACGGUACCGUAAGAAUAAGCACCGGCUAACUACGUGCCAGCAGCCGCAGUAA
This 498-nucleotide ribosomal RNA is filed under the name uncultured bacterium. RNAcentral describes it as "partial 16S ribosomal RNA". It matches the Rfam family "Bacterial small subunit ribosomal RNA", at positions 30 to 523 of the family's 1533-position model. The record is from RNAcentral.